RNAcentral lists this ribosomal RNA (559 nucleotides) under Perithemis tenera. RNAcentral's name for it is "SSU rRNA". It matches the Rfam family "Eukaryotic small subunit ribosomal RNA", at positions 605 to 1138 of the family's 1831-position model. Lineage: Eukaryota; Metazoa; Arthropoda; Insecta; Odonata; Libellulidae. The record is from RNAcentral.
UAAAGUUGUUGCGGUUAAAAAGCUCGUAGUCGGAGGUGUGUCUCAGACGGUCGGUUCGCCGCUCGCGGUGCUCAACUGGCCGGUCCGGACGUCCUGCCGGUGGGGCUGUAAAAGGCUCCGUUAUCCUUCUUUGGUCCUCUUCAUUGAGUGCCUUGGUGGGCCGGCACGUUUACUUUGAACAAAUUAGAGUGCUCAAAGCAGGCCGUUGGUCGCCUGAAUACUGUGUGCAUGGAAUAAUAGAAUAGGACCUCGGUUCCAUUUUGUUGGUUUUCAGAACUCGAGGUAAUGAUUAAUAGGGACGGACGGGGGCAUUCGUAUUGCGACGUUAGAGGUGAAAUUCUUGGAUCGUCGCAAGACGAACCGAUGCGAAAGCAUUUGCCAAGAACGUUUUCGUUGAUCAAGAACGAAAGUUAGAGGUUCGAAGGCGAUCAGAUACCGCCCUAGUUCUAACCAUAAACGAUGCCAGCUAGCCAUCCGCCGAAGUUCCUUAUAUGACUCGGCGGGCAGCUUCCGGGAAACCAAAGCUCUUGGGUUCCGGGGGAAGUAUGGUUGCAAAGCU